UUUUGGAUCCGACUGAGUGGCGAACUGGUGAGUAACACGUGGGUAACCUGCCCAGAAGAAGGGGAUAACACCUGGAAACAGAUGCUAAUACCGUAUAACGACAAGGACCACAUGGUUCUUGUUUGAAAGCUGGCCUUUGUGCUAGUGCUUCUAGAUGGACCCGCGGCGUAUUAGCUAGUUGGUGAGAUAAUAGCUCACCAAGGCAAUGAUACGUAGCAGACCUGAGAGGGUAAUCUGCCACAAUGGGACUGGGACACGGCCCAUACUCC
RNAcentral lists this ribosomal RNA (269 nucleotides) under uncultured Lactobacillaceae bacterium. RNAcentral describes it as "partial 16S ribosomal RNA". It matches the Rfam family "Bacterial small subunit ribosomal RNA", at positions 79 to 339 of the family's 1533-position model. The record is from RNAcentral. Lineage: Bacteria; Bacillati; Bacillota; Bacilli; Lactobacillales; Lactobacillaceae.